AAAGAUAAAUGCCCUUCUUGCCAACUCCAUGCUGCACUCUCUGAAAAUGCAAGGUCUGUUACUAGAGCUUUCCCCCAUAGAUACUUUGUUCUCACCACCCCCACCACCACCCCCAAUCUCUUCAAGGGCUCUGCAAAAAAUCCACGGCUACAUAAAGCUCUAACCUUGGCAAUAUACAGCAAAUGUGUUUUAUGGGAGGGAAAGCAACAAAAGGCUUCAAAAUGAACUCUAAGCUUCACAUGCACAAUCUGUCUGCACCUGAGCCUCUAUCAUCAUCCCUGGGAACACCAGCACCACAUACCACCUACCUACCAUUUCCUCUAAACUGGGAUGCUAAUGACUAUGGGAAAAUAAUUGUAUGCAGCAUAUAUCCUCAUUAUGAAAUUACACUAGCCUCAAUAUGUAAUAAGUGGAUGUGUAACCUCAGAAAUAAAGUUACUAUAAUAUA
Long non-coding RNA from Anolis carolinensis (green anole), 448 nucleotides. RefSeq lists it as uncharacterized. The transcript has 2 exons. Lineage: Eukaryota; Metazoa; Chordata; Lepidosauria; Squamata; Anolidae. The record is from RefSeq and is a predicted model, not a curated record.